AUUGAACGCUGGCGGCAGGCCUAACACAUGCGAGUCGAGCGGAUGAAGGGAGCUUGCUCCUGGAUUCAGCGGCGGACGGGUGAGUAAUGCCUAGGAAUCUGCCUGGUAGUGGGGGAUAACGUCCGGAAACGGGCGCUAAUACCGCAUACGUCCUGAGGGAGAAAGUGGGGGAUCUUCGGACCUCACGCUAUCAGAUGGGCCUAGGUCGGAUUAGCUAGUUGGUGGGGUAAAGGCCUACCAAGGCGACGAUCCGUAACUGGUCUGAGAGGAUGAUCAGUCACACUGGAACUGAGACACGGUCCAGACUCCUACGGGAGGCAGCAGUGGGGAAUAUUGGACAAUGGGCGAAAGCCUGAUCCAGCCAUGCCGCGUGUGUGAAGAAGGUCUUCGGAUUGUAAAGCACUUUAAGUUGGGAGGAAGGGCAGUAAGUUAACACCUUGCUGUUUUGACGUUACCAACAGAAUAAGCACCGGCUAACUUCGUG
This 484-nucleotide ribosomal RNA is filed under the name uncultured bacterium. Its description in RNAcentral is "partial 16S ribosomal RNA". It matches the Rfam family "Bacterial small subunit ribosomal RNA", at positions 30 to 507 of the family's 1533-position model. The record is from RNAcentral.